RNAcentral lists this long non-coding RNA (1129 nucleotides) under Mytilus galloprovincialis (Mediterranean mussel). The record is from RNAcentral. Lineage: Eukaryota; Metazoa; Mollusca; Bivalvia; Mytilida; Mytilidae.
CCGAGUAAUAUACUGCACCUCUAAAAAUAUGUCUAGGUAUUUUUAUUGCUCAAGUAUGAAGUACCGUCCUACACUAAUUCUAUAUUAUAGAUCUGUAUGGGUUGGAGUAAAACUAAAACAUUUCCAAUAAACCUAAAGGUAAACAAAUAAUAAAGGGGCAGACAGACAGACGGACCAAAUGUAAAUAGCCCGACCCAACAAGUGUGGUCGUUUCAAGUACGACACCACAAAAAUAACAGACUUUUAAAACAAAUCUAUUUCAGUAUUUCCAAACCCGUAGUUGGAUUUAUAUACCAAAUACACAAGCAAAUACCAGAAAAUAAAUAUCCAAAGGGAAGCUAAUUAAGACAACAUAAGACUCGUUCUGUCCUGAAUAUGCUUUCACUUAAAUAAUCUGUAAUCAGCAAACCAUGAAACGCAGACUCAUGGGAGGUUCAAAAUCUAGGUUGUUACCAAUACCAAGGGAAGUAAUCAGGACGAGUUUUAAUCGAAGGAUCAAUUCAGGCAAGGGACAAGGCGUUUCUCUGCAAUAAAAUAAUUCAGUAAGAUACAACUUUUAUUAGACAACACGCAUAUGAAUCAGCUGCACAUUUAAUAAGUUACAGUUUUGCGAGUCAAUGGUCUAUUUCUGCAGUCUAUAACAAGAUUUCUUAGACCAAGAAAAUAAAUUCUUUCAGUAUCUAACUUUCUUUAACGACUCACUCUGCCGUUCUGAUCAGGGCUUGCAUAUGGAUUUCGCUUGUUAACACUUUUAAUACUUAAAUUUACCGUCCUUAAGUUCAAGUCAUAGAUUUGAGUCACUCACGUGAAUGCCAACAAAUAAUGACUCCGAACUUUUACUUGCUUUAACCCGCAAGUUAUAAAUAACUUUAACCUUAACAACUGAACAGCUGAACAGUUAACCGAAUCUCGUUAUUCGCCAACUGACAACUUUUAUUCAGUUCAAAGAACUUUUCAAAAACUCAACUCAUAAUUUAACCAGCGAACCGCUUUCUAAAUAAUUCACGCCUCAACACGUAAAUAUUCAAAGUUUUCCGCUAAAUCUCCAAUGCAAACCGUGAUCAAAAACCAGCCAGUUUUAGUCACUCAAAAUAUGUACAUGAAAAUCAUAGGAGGGGGAACUUCUUAC